This 253-nucleotide ribosomal RNA is filed under the name uncultured bacterium. Its description in RNAcentral is "partial 16S ribosomal RNA". It matches the Rfam family "Bacterial small subunit ribosomal RNA", at positions 524 to 776 of the family's 1533-position model. The record is from RNAcentral.
UACGUAGGGUGCAAGCGUUGUCCGGAAUUACUGGGCGUAAAGGGCACGUAGGCGGCCUGCUAAGUCGAACGUGAAAUCCCUGGGCUCAACCCAGGAACUGCGUCCGAUACUGGUUGGCUUGAAUCCGGGAGAGGGACGUGGAAUUCCAGGUGUAGCGGUGAAAUGCGUAGAUAUCUGGAGGAACACCGGUGGCGAAGGCGACGUCCUGGACCGGCAUUGACGCUGAGGCGCGAAAGCCAGGGGAGCAAACGGG